Molecule: long non-coding RNA, 1193 nt
Organism: Oncorhynchus gorbuscha (pink salmon)
Lineage: Eukaryota; Metazoa; Chordata; Actinopteri; Salmoniformes; Salmonidae
Exons: 3
Source: RefSeq, a predicted model, not a curated record
GCUGCAGCCCCUGUCCCUCACUCCCUCCAACUCUGACAUGGACCCCCACACUGAGUGACAGUGUGGAGGAUUUGCAGGUGACUCCGAAUCGAGUCAUAACUUCUAUCCUGAACUUUACCGCUUCACAUGUCCACCAUGGAGAGAAGAUCUCCUGCACUGCGCUGUACAAACGACAAGCUGGCAAGAGUGAUAAAUCAUCCAAAACUGAUCUGACAGUCGCUGUUCUUUACUCUCCCAAGAACACCUCAGUGUCAGUCAGUCCCUCUGAUUCAGUGGUAGAGGGCAGCUCUGUGACUCUGACUUGCAGCAGCAAUGCUAACCCAGCAGUGGGGCGCUACAACUGGUACAGAGUUAUUGGAGAGCAGGUUUCAACAGUGAGGGCUAGCAGAAUGCUAACUGUCCAGGUACCAGCAGAUGACAGUUAUUUCUACUGUGAAGCCAUCAAUGACCAUGGAACCGAGAAGUCAUCUGUCAUUCAACUAGAUGGAAUGUACCCUCCCAAGAACACCUCACUGUCAGUCAGUCCCUCUGGUUCAUUGGUAGAGGGCAGCUCUGUGACCCUGACCUGCAACAGCAAUGCCAACCCUGCAGUGAAGAACUACACCUGGUACAAAAUCAAUGGGACUGAGGCUGUCCUUUUAGGAUCUGGAGAGAGCUUCACCUUAGACAGUAAAGCAAGUGAUAGCGGGGAGUACUGCUGUGAAGCACUGCAUGCACUCGGUAAAGAAAAAGCCACAGUUGUUCAGCUGGAUAUUCAAUGUAAGUUAUAUACAUUAUACUUUUGCAGUGGUAUGGUCAGGGAUGGAACUUAAAGAUAUUGGGCACUGGCCAGCCAGGAUAGAAGACUGCAAUUUUUACUGGCCUGGGUCCAAAAUAAAUAUGCAAUAUUUGAAAAGACAAAAUGUCACUAGCUGCUGGGCUAGUCGGGCACAUUUUCUAUUAGCCCGGUCUGAAAAGUACUAGCCACGGGUUAGCGGGCUAGCUUAAUUUCUAUCCCUGGGUAUAAUACAGUAUAUUGCCUAGUGUAGGAACAGAAACAUCAAGAUGCUGCUAACACUUUACCAUAUGGCUACAUUAAUUGGCAUCAACUAAUGUAUCAUUCAAUGGUGUCAAUGCAUUUGUUAAUCAUUUACUAAUGGUAAAGAAACACAACAUAUUUUAGUCAUAAUUUUGAAAUGCUACAUGUAGAGCCU